UAACACGUAAACAACCUGCCUUCAGGAUGGGGACAACAGACGGAAACGACUGCUAAUACCGAAUGUGUUCCGGAGACCGCAUGAUUUCCGGAAGAAAGGAUGGCCUCUAUUUAUAAGCUAUCGCCUGAAGAGGGGUUUGCGUCUGAUUAGGCAGUUGGUGAGGUAACGGCCCACCAAACCUACGAUCAGUAGCCGGUCUGAGAGGAUGAACGGCCACACUGGAACUGAGACACGGUCCAGACUCCUACGGGAGGCAGCAGUGGGGAAUCUUCCGCAAUGGACGAAAGUCUGACGGAGCAACGCCGCGUGAGUGAUGACGGCCUUCGGGUUGUAAAGCUCUGUGAUCGGGGACGAAUGGCUGGUAUGCUAAUACCAUAUCAGAGUGACGGUACCCGAAUAGCAAGCCACGGCUAACUACGUGCAGCAGCCGCGGUAAUACGUAGGUGGCAAGCGUUGUCCGGAAUUAUUGGGCGUAAAGCGCGCGCAGGCGGCUUCUUAAGUCCAUCUUAAAAGUGCGGGGCUUAACCCCGUGAUGGGAUGGAAACUGGGAGGCUGGAGUAUCGGAGAGGAAAGUGGAAUUCCUAGUGUAGCGGUGAAAUGCGUAGAGAUUAGGAAGAACACCGGUGGCGAAGGCGACUUUCUGGACGACAACUGACGCUGAGGCGCGAAAGCGUGGGGGAGCAAACAGGAUUAGAUACCCUGGUAGU
Molecule: ribosomal RNA, 707 nt
Filed under: uncultured bacterium
Lineage: Bacteria
Description: bacterial SSU rRNA
Rfam family: Bacterial small subunit ribosomal RNA
Source: RNAcentral